AGAGUUGUUGUACUGGUGCAUGUUCACUCGAAAGGAAAGGAGAAUCUCUUUUUUUGGUUUUUUUUUUUUGUUUGUUUUGUUUUGUUUUGUUUUGUUUUGAGAGAGAACAGAGGUUCAGCAAGCUGUGUGCAGAUGGCCUGCAUGCCUGAUUUAUGGACUUCAGUACCAUAGUAUUUACAUUAAAGAGGGCAAUGACUAAUUCAAACUUUCUACUCUCCAGAGCAUUCUUUUUGGAUCUGGAAGCAGAAGGGAGAGAUAUGAGAGCGAAUGAACACACUCCAGAACUAGAAGAAAAGGCACCAUGGUUACAGCAACGGAGAAAUGAGGGAAGUGAAGUGACUCACCUGACACACUGCAGUAGUUACGAUCUCCUUCAGAACAGUUGUUCACUGCUUUCUUCUUUGUGUUUCACGGCUACCGUCAUCUUCAUAAGAAAUACUGCAGGAAAAAACUCCUCUCAUGCAUGACCUCUUCUAAAUGCAGGACAAUGAUAACCCUGCCCAUGGCCCUGGGAUUCCAUUCGCCAGUUAUUGAAGAACUCCUGUAAAUGUCUGACAUUUGAUGAUGUCAGGUAGGCCACGAUGACUGACUAUCCACGCAUUAGCUCUCCCCAUGGUUUUGAGAGUUCUUCAUUUUCCUCACAGGCAACCAAAAUCAGAAGUAUGGAAACAACACAUUUCCCUCUUCUGAAGGUUUUUCC
This 700-nucleotide long non-coding RNA is filed under the name Chrysolophus pictus (golden pheasant). Its description in RNAcentral is "lncRNA (ENSCPIG00010003737.1)". The record is from RNAcentral. Lineage: Eukaryota; Metazoa; Chordata; Aves; Galliformes; Phasianidae.